This 274-nucleotide ribosomal RNA is filed under the name uncultured bacterium. RNAcentral's name for it is "partial 16S ribosomal RNA". It matches the Rfam family "Bacterial small subunit ribosomal RNA", at positions 523 to 796 of the family's 1533-position model. The record is from RNAcentral.
AUACGGGGGGGGCGAGCGUUAUUCGGAAUUACUGGGCGUAAAGGGCGCGUAGGCGGCCUGGGAAGUCUUGGGUGAAAGCCCUCAGCUCAACUGGGGAAUGGCCUGAGAAACCACUGGGCUGGAGUGCUGGAGGGGGAAGCGGAAUUCCCGGUGGAGCGGUGAAAUGCGUAGAUAUCGGGAGGAACACCAGAGGCGAAGGCGGCUUCCUGGACAGACACUGACGCUGAGGCGCGAAAGCUAGGGGAGCAAACGGGAUUAGAAACCCGGGUAGUCC